UAAUACAUAAGUAACCUGCCCUAGACAGGGGGAUAACUAUUGGAAAUGAUAGCUAAGACCGCAUAGGUACGGACACUGCAUGGUGACCGUAUUAAAAGUGCCUCAAAGCACUGGUAGAGGAUGGACUUAUGGCGCAUUAGCUGGUUGGCGGGGUAACGGCCCACCAAGGCGACGAUGCGUAGCCGACCUGAGAGGGUGACCGGCCACACUGGGACUGAGACACGGCCCAG
This 230-nucleotide ribosomal RNA is filed under the name uncultured bacterium. Its description in RNAcentral is "partial 16S ribosomal RNA". It matches the Rfam family "Bacterial small subunit ribosomal RNA", at positions 111 to 334 of the family's 1533-position model. The record is from RNAcentral.